AUUGAACGCUGGCGGCAUGCCUUACACAUGCCAGUCGAACGGUAACGGGCCUUCGGGUGCCGACGAGUGGCGAACGGGUGAGUAAUACAUCGGAACGUGCCCGAUCGUGGGGGAUAACGAGGCGAAAGCUUUGCUAAUACCGCAUACGAUCUACGGAUGAAAGCAGGGGACCGCAAGGCCUUGCGCGGGCGGAGCGGCCGAUGGCAGAUUAGGUAGUUGGUGGGAUAAAAGCUUACCAAGCCGACGAUCUGUAGCUGGUCUGAGAGGAUGAUCAGCCACACUGGGACUGAGACACGGCCCAGACUCCUACGGGAGGCAGCAGUGGGGAAUUUUGGACAAUGGGCGCAAGCCUGAUCCAGCCAUGCCGCGUGCAGGAUGAAGGCCUUCGGGUUGUAAACUGCUUUUGUACGGAACGAAAAGCCUUCUUUUAAUACAGGAGGGUCAUGACGGUACCGUAAGAAUAAGCACCGGCUAACUACGUG
RNAcentral lists this ribosomal RNA (482 nucleotides) under uncultured bacterium. RNAcentral's name for it is "partial 16S ribosomal RNA". It matches the Rfam family "Bacterial small subunit ribosomal RNA", at positions 30 to 507 of the family's 1533-position model. The record is from RNAcentral.